Molecule: long non-coding RNA, 3689 nt
Organism: Diceros bicornis minor
Lineage: Eukaryota; Metazoa; Chordata; Mammalia; Perissodactyla; Rhinocerotidae
Exons: 4
Source: RefSeq, a predicted model, not a curated record
UCUACAAAUCAAAUCUACAAAACCACAGGGUUGCUUACUUCUGAGCCAUUUAUCCUGAUGGGUCGGCUAAAUGCUGUGACUUCAUACAGGAACUGGGAGGCUGAGUGGGUGUUACCAUUGAGGGCAACCAUGGUCUUGGUUUGGGUCUAUUUUCGAAGGGACAUGAACCAAGGAUGGGAGAUUCUCUUUGAAGGCUGCAAGUUUAACUCGCUUGUUUAGUUUCUCCUCACCAUCAGCAAGAAGAAAAAUUAUAGGCUCUCCAAAGACCGUGGUUAUUGAGUUUUAGCCUGCAUCGGGAUAAUCUGGACAAGUGCUUCUCCAGCUUUGGCAUGCAACAGAAAUCACCUGCAGGGCCUGAUAAGACAUGGAUUGCUGGGUCCAACCCGCAGCAUUUCUUUCUUUCUUUCUUUCUUUUUUUUUUUGUGAGGAAGAUCAGCCCUGAGCUAACAUCCAUGCCAAUCCUCCACUUUUUGCUGAGGAAGACCGGCCCUGAGCUAACAUCCGUGCCCAUCUUCCUCCACUUUAUAUGGGACGCCGCCACAGCAUGGCCUGCCAAGCAGUGUGUGGGUGCGCACCCAGGAUCUGAACCAGCGAACCCCGGGCCGCCGCACGCACUUAACCGCUUGCGCCACUGGGCCAGCCCCAACCUGCAGCAUUUCUGAUCCAGUAAGUUUGUGUUGGAGCUAAGAAUUUGCAUUUCUCAUAUUCUGAGAACCACAACUCUAGACUGUUGCUACUAAAUGUGAUCUACAAGACAGUAGCAGCAGCAGCACCUGAGAGAUUUGAGCCACACAGAAUCUCAGGCCCACCCCAGACCUACUUUCUCUAAUGAUUCCUGAGUGAUUCGUAUGCACAUUCAAGUUUGAGAGGCAUUGGCUUAGGUCAGGGGUGGCAAACUUUUUCGGUAACGGGCUAGAUAGUAAACAUUUUAAGACUUACGGGCAUAGAGUCUCUGCCACAACUACUGAACUUCACCAUCUUAGCACAAAAGCAGCCAUAGACUGAGUGUGACUGUGUGCCAAUAAAACUUUAUUUACAAAAACAGACAGUGGGCUGGAUUUGGUCCCCUGGUCCUAGUUCAUCAACUUCUGGCUUAGAAUGUGUGUGUUUGUGGGUUAUGUUGUAUUUUAUUUUUUAAAUGUUGUUUCACUUCCCACAGAGUCUGUUCCAGUAGUUCUAGGGUUGGACCUGCUAUCUGUAUUUUCAACAAACACCUGAGGAAAUUUUGAUUCAGGUGGUCAGCAAAUCAUACUUUGGGAAACACUUUCACCCAUCAUUUUCCUUUGCAAUAUCGAGUUAUUUUAUUAGAUAUUUAUGGUUUUCUUUUAAAUAGCUCGUAAAAAGAAAAAUAAAACUCUCUGAUCUAUUCAUCUUUUCAACAGCACUCUUCCGUGUUCUUCCAAAUGUUGGCCACACUAGGGUUGGGCUGGUACAAAUUAGAUGUAUGUUUCCCCAACAGAGCAAACUGAACACCGUAAGGAAGCUGGGCUCCUGGAAGUGUUGCUGCUGCACACAUUUUCCCGUAAGGAAAGAGGACACACUGCAUGCGCAUUUAAGCAGGAAACUCAUUGCAGAAGAAAAUUAGAAGCAAUGAGAAGUGCAGAUCCUUCUCCUUUAUUGCUGCUCUAAUUUUUUCAAACCAGAACUCAACUGCUACAGCUAAAAUCCUCAGGGAAUAGUUUUAUGAUUAAAGCCAAAGAAACAGUAUUGUGCAUUUACUUGCUCUAAAUUCUAUAUCAAGCAGAGAAAGGGAGGAAAACAAAGACAGCUGUGAAAUGGACUUUGUUCUCAUUCUCUAAAUGGCUAGUUGCUUCUUUUAUAAAAGUAGAUUUGAGUUGACAUUUUAUGUCUUAAUAACCUGUCCUUUCUCACCAACUCUCCUUUCCGCCCAGAAGCACUAGUUCUGUAAUAAGUCUAUGAACUUUUCUGUUGCCAUUCUUCUUAUUUUGCUUAACAGAGUUCUGGGCAUUAUCCUACACCAUACACAAAAAUUAACUCAAAAUGGAUUAAAGACUUGAAUGUAAGAUCAGAAACCGUGAAACUUCUAGAAGAAACCAUUGGUGGUACGCUCUUUGAUAUCGAUCUUAGCAGCAUAUUUCCAAGCACCAUGUCUGACCGGGCAAGGGAAACAAUGGAAAAAAUAAACAGAACUACAUCAAACUAAAAAGCUUCUGCACAGCAAAGGAAACCAUCAACAAGACAAAAAGACAACCUAAGAAUUGGGAGAAGAUAUUUGCAAACCAUAUAUCAGAUCAGAGGUUAAUAUUCAAAAUUUAUAAAGAAUUAUACAUCUCAACCACAAAAAAACUAAGAACCCAGUUAAAAAAUGGGCAAAAGAUCUAAACAGACAUUUCUCCAAAGAAGAUAUACAGAUGGCCAACAGGCUCAUGAAAAGACGUUCAAUGUCGCUACUUAUCAGGGAAACGCAAAUCAAAACUACAAUGAGGUAUCACCUCAUACCCAUCAGAAUGCCUAUAUUUAACAAGACAGGAAAAGACAAGUGUUGGAGAGGAUGUGGAGAGAAGGGAACUCUCAUACACCGCUGGAGGGGGUGCAAACUGGUGCAGCCACAGUGGAAAACAGUAGGGAGAUUCCCCAAAAAAUUAAGAAUAGAACUACCAUACGAUCCAGCUAUUCCACUGCUGGGUGUUUAUCCAAAGAACAUGAAAACAUGAAGGUGUAAAGAUAUAUGAACCCUUAUGUUCAUUGCAGCGUUAUUCACAAUAGCCAAGACUUGGAAGCAACCCAGGUGCCCGCUGAGGGAUGAAUGGAUAAAGAAGAUGUGGUAUAUAUACACAAUGGAAUACUACUCAGCCAUAAAAACAGAUGAAACCUUGCCAUUUGUGACAACAUGGAUGGACAUUGAGGGUAUUAUGCUAAGCGAAAUAAGACUGAGGGAGAAAGUCAAAUACCGUGUGAUCUCACUCACAAGUGGAAGAUAAAAACAACAACAAACAAACACAUAGAGACAGAGAUUGGGUUGGUGGUUACCAGAGGGGAAGGGGGAGGGAGGAGAGCGAAAAGCGUGACAGGGCACAUGUGCAUGGUGAUGGACUAAUUAGUUUGAGUGGUGAACAUGAUGUAAUCUACACACAAAUCAAAAUAUAAUGAUGUACACCCAAAAUUUAUAUAAUGUUAUAAACCAAUGUUACCACAAUAAAAGAAAGAAACAGCAAUACUAGACCCAGAUGAGUAACGGCUCCAGAUAUGGGAAUUACUAGGCAUAAGCUGAGGAGUCCAUCUCCUGCUUAAAAACCUUCGAGCUAUAGACUGAAUGUUGGUGUCCCCCAAAAUUCGUAUGUUGAAGACCUAAUCCCCAAUGUGAUGGUAUUUGGUGGGGCCUCUGGUAUUUAAUUAGGUUUAGAUGACAUCACAGGAUGGAGACCCAUGAUGGAAUUAGUGCUCUUAUUAAAAGAGGAAGAGACUAGACCCUACUUUCUCUCUGCCAUAUGAGGACACCAUGAAAAGCCGGCCAUCCAUGAACCAGGAAGCAGACCCUCACGAGACGCUGAAUCUGCCAGCACCUUGAUCUCAAACUCCCAGCCUCCAGGACUGUGAGAAAUAAAUGUGUGUUGUUUAAACCAAAAAAAAAAAAAAACGAAUUCUGGGAAGCAAUACAUGAAAAGAAAUUUAAUUUUUAAUGAGUAGAUAUGAAAAUUACAAACAUUGUGUUUUUAAUAUAUUUUUUA